CCACGCCGUAAACGUUGGGAACUAGGUGUUGGCGACAUUCCACGUCGUCGGUGCCGCAGCUAACGCAUUAAGUUCCCCGCCUGGGGAGUACGGCCGCAAGGCUAAAACUCAAAGGAAUUGACGGGGGCCCGCACAAGCAGCGGAGCAUGUGGCUUAAUUCGACGCAACGCGAAGAACCUUACCAAGGCUUGACAUACACCGGAAAGCAUCAGAGAUGGUGCCCCCCUUGUGGUCGGUGUACAGGUGGUGCAUGGCUGU
This 258-nucleotide ribosomal RNA is filed under the name uncultured bacterium. RNAcentral describes it as "partial 16S ribosomal RNA". It matches the Rfam family "Bacterial small subunit ribosomal RNA", at positions 795 to 1052 of the family's 1533-position model. The record is from RNAcentral.